This 1433-nucleotide ribosomal RNA is filed under the name metagenome. Its description in RNAcentral is "bacterial SSU rRNA". It matches the Rfam family "Bacterial small subunit ribosomal RNA". The record is from RNAcentral.
AGAGUUUGAUCCUGGCUCAGGAUGAACGCUGGCGGCGUGCUUAACACAUGCAAGUCGAACGCACCUUCGGGUGAGUGGCGGACGGGUGAGUAACGCGUGGGAAUCUGCCCUCAGGAGGGGGAUAACGGCUGGAAACGGCCGCUAAUACCCCAUAUGCCGAAAGGUGAAAUGAAUUUCGCCUGAGGAUGAGCCCGCGUCUGAUUAGCUAGUUGGUGGGGUAAUGGCCCACCAAGGCGACGAUCAGUAGCUGGUCUGAGAGGAUGAUCAGCCACACUGGGACUGAGACACGACCCAGACCCCUACGGGAGGCAGCAGUGGGGAAUUUUCCGCAAUGGGCGAAAGCCUGACGGAGCAACGCCGCGUGAGGGAUGAAGGCCUCUGGGCUGUAAACCUCUUUUCUCAAGGAAGAAGACAUGACGGUACUUGAGGAAUAAGCCACGGCUAAUUCCGCGCCAGCAGCCGCGGUAAUACGGGAGUGGCAAGCGUUAUCCGGAAUUAUUGGGCGUAAAGCGUCCGCAGGCGGCCUUGUAAGUCUGUCGUUAAAGCGUGGAGCUUAACUCCAUUUAAGCGAUGGAAACUACAAGGCUUGAGUGUGGUAGGGGCAGAGGGAAUUCCCGGUGUAGCGGUGAAAUGCGUAGAUAUCUGGAAGAACACCAGUGGCGAAGGCGCUCUGCUGGGCCAUAACUGACGCUCAUGGACGAAAGCCAGGGGAGCGAAAGGGAUUAGAUACCCCUGUAGUCCUGGCCGUAAACGAUGAACACUAGGUGUCGGGGGAAUCGACCCCCUCGGUGUCGUAGCUAACGCGUUAAGUGUUCCGCCUGGGGAGUACGCACGCAAGUGUGAAACUCAAAGGAAUUGACGGGGGCCCGCACAAGCGGUGGAGUAUGUGGUUUAAUUCGAUGCAACGCGAAGAACCCUACCAGGGUUUGACAUCCUGCGAAUCCCUUGGAAACUUGGGAGUGCCUUCGGGAGCGCAGAGACAGGUGGUGCAUGGCUGUCGUCAGCUCGUGUCGUGAGAUGUUGGGUUAAGUCCCGCAACGAGCGCAACCCACGUCUUUAGUUGCCAGCAUUCAGUUGGGCACUCUAGAGAGACCGCCGGUGAUAAACCGGAGGAAGGUGUGGAUGACGUCAAGUCAUCAUGCCCCUUACAUCCUGGGCUACACACGUACUACAAUGCUACGGACAAAGGGCAGCAAGCUCGCGAGAGUUAGCAAAUCCCAUAAACCGUGGCUCAGUUCAGAUCGUAGGCUGCAACUCGCCUACGUGAAGGAGGAAUCGCUAGUAAUCGCAGGUCAGCAUACUGCGGUGAAUACGUUCCCGGGCCUUGUACACACCGCCCGUCACACCAUGGAAGUUGGCCAUGCCCGAAGUCGUUACUCCAACCCUUGUGGAGGAGGACGCCGAAGGUGGGGCUGAUGACUGGGGUGAAGUCG